CUCAAUUCAUGACUACCAUUUGCAGUGACUGAUGAGUCUAAAGCUGAUCUUGUCGGGUUAUUUGCUAAAGAAUUUCCAAGUUUAGUCCGAUUAUUCUCAUCAAAAUCCAUCAACUUCAUAAUAUCCGUUACUAGUAUUAAUCGUUGAAAUUUAAAGGUCGGGCAACUCAAGAUGAGGUGGGAUAAGUCGGCCUCAUUUCCUCCACAAUUCAGUCACAUAUGUAUAUAUUUGUGAAGUAUAAAGGUUAUACAGGAUUGGAGAUAAAGAAGACCCUUGCAUCAACCCCUUGAAUGCUAAUUUUGGACCAUGAAAAACAUUAUUGUAUUUAAUGUAUAAAGAACGACCAUAAUACAUAUGGAAAAUCCAUUUUAAAAGCUUUCCUGGGAAGCCCAAAGAAUAUAGCACCUUAAUUAAUUGGUGAAGAUCUACAUUAUCAUAUGCCCCCUGAACAUCAAGGAAAACACAAAUUGCAGUAGAACCUGAUAACAAACACUUCUUCAUAUCAGUCAGCCUCGGCACAAGUAUCAUUCCACCAAGGAGCUGGAGGAGCAGACUUUUUACUAGAAGAUUUAUGCUUUAACAAUGGAACACAGUUUUCUUUUAAACUAAGUAGUAAUUUAGAAAAUUCAUCAUAUUGAACUAAAGGAUCAAUUGUUGAAGGAGAAAAUUUAUCAAAUAUAUCUUUGGAUUUAUCAUUGUACAUAUUCCAGUUUGUUUUAUUAUAUAAAUACUUAUGUAUAGACUCUUGUACUGUAUAUUUUUGAGUUGAGGUAAUGAUGUUAACAAAAGUAGGUAAAUGAUAGCUCCCUAAAGAGUCAUCACCGACAUACCACUCACAAAGUGGUGCAAUAUCAGGGCUAACACAAGUAACAUCAAUGGCUGAUGCAUUAUUACCAGGUCUAGAAAUAGUAGUAGGGUCACCAGAAUUUAAAAUACAUAAAUCAGCAUCAUCAAAUAUAUCAAAUAAUUCACGACCUCUUGAAUUGGUAGUAUCACAACCAAAAGCUAUAUUGUGAGCAUUAAAAUCACCAGA
Long non-coding RNA from Pieris napi, 1033 nucleotides. RefSeq lists it as uncharacterized. The record is from RefSeq and is a predicted model, not a curated record. NCBI's taxonomy places the organism in Eukaryota, Metazoa, Arthropoda, Insecta, Lepidoptera, Pieridae. The transcript has 4 exons.